RNAcentral lists this ribosomal RNA (253 nucleotides) under uncultured bacterium. Its description in RNAcentral is "partial 16S ribosomal RNA". It matches the Rfam family "Bacterial small subunit ribosomal RNA", at positions 524 to 776 of the family's 1533-position model. The record is from RNAcentral.
UACGUAGGGCGCAAGCGUUGUCCGGAAUUAUUGGGCGUAAAGAGCUCGUAGGCGGCUUGUCACGUCGGAUGUGAAAGCCCGAGGCUUAACCUCGGGUCUGCAUUCGAUACGGGCUAGCUAGAGUGUGGUAGGGGAGAUCGGAAUUCCUGGUGUAGCGGUGAAAUGCGCAGAUAUCAGGAGGAACACCGGUGGCGAAGGCGGAUCUCUGGGCCAUUACUGACGCUGAGGAGCGAAAGCAUGGGGAGCGAACAGG